UUUUGUCUUACACUUUCUGCAGAUCGGGAUGCAAUGAACACAACUUUGCUAGCUGAGAGGAAUGUUUCAAAUGCUAUGGCUCCAAGGGACUCGCACUAGCUAGAAAUGAGAUUAUCCAAUUUGGGGUAUAUAUUCACCAUUUAUUAGCAGUUACAAUUUCUGCUUCUGAAUCUGAAGCAUAAAAUUAUUGGCAUAUUACCACGCAUGUUCCUUUAAUUACAGCUUUACAAGAAUUAGAGAAUUUAAUUGGUUAUAUUAAAUUUGUAAUUAAUUUAUAUAUAUUUUUUCUUUAAAUUAUUGAUAAAACUAUUGAUAUUUAAUUUUUAAAUUUUCUUUAAGUUAUUUUUUGGCUUGAGCAAUCAAUAUUGAAGACAAUUUAGAGGGAUUAUAUAUGUAUCAAAACAAUUUUUUUAAAAGGUUCUAUAUAAAGAAUUAGAGGCAUACUAAUAAAAAUAUUCAUGGUUUAAUUUUGUUUUAGGGAUCCUAGCCAAGGAGAGACAAGAGAUUCUGCAAGAUUUCUUACAGCUUCUUCUGGAUGUAAAAGUCAUUUUGAAUUCUACAUAUAAAACAGUGGUUUCAAUGUCAUGUUACAAUAAGAAGCUGCAUCCCUUGCACUUUCUGUGAUUUAC
Molecule: long non-coding RNA, 629 nt
Filed under: Glycine max (soybean)
Lineage: Eukaryota; Viridiplantae; Streptophyta; Magnoliopsida; Fabales; Fabaceae
Description: long non-coding RNA (GMAX_LNC003068)
Source: RNAcentral